GUUCAAAAAGAAACGUCUCGUUUUCAUUCCAUGGAAGAGAACUCCAUACACAGGCAGAUCAAGACAGGAGAGAUUCCCAAAAUUUAGGAGUGUGUUUCAUCUUCACAGAACCAACUGAAAUCUACAGCAUUAGAUUUAGAUCACCAUAAGAGAGAAGCAGAAGUAGUAGAGAAACAAUCUGUAAAUAUAGUGAGUGAGUAAGGGAGAGAGAUGGGUUUGGGAAUGGCGAUUUACGAGGGUGUGGUGAUGGUUGGGUCGCUUUGCCUGUUGGGCUGGGCGGGGCUUUGGUUCUUGAACCAGAGACUCUAUAAAGAGUAUGAAGAGAAGAGAGUGUUAGUUCAAAUCAUAUUCAGCGUCGUUUUUGCUUUCUCUUGCAAUCUUCUCCAGCUCGUUCUCUUCGAGAUCAUCCCUCUCCUCUCCAAAGAGUCAAGAUGGACUAACUGGAAGGUGGAUCUGUUUUGUUUGAUGUUGUUAUUGGUGUUCAUGCUACCUUAUUAUCACUGCUACUUAAUGCUUUGUAACAAUGGUGUAAGGAAGGAACGAGCUGCACUUGGGGCCAUCUUGUUCUUGCUGGCCUUCCUUUAUGCUUUUUGGCGCAUGGGCAUUCACUUCCCAAUGCCUUCACCUGAUAAAGGUUUCUUUACCAUGCCUCAGCUAGUCAGCAGAAUUGGGGUCAUUGGUGUGACUGUCACGGCUGUUUUAUCUGGUUUUGGAGCUGUGAAUUUACCAUACAGUUAUUUGUCCCUCUUUAUUAGAGAAAUUGAGGAAUCAGAGAUCAAGGCUUUGGAAAGGCAAUUAAUGCAAUCGAUUGAGACUUGUAUUGCAAAGAAAAAGAAAAUUAUUCUUUCUCAAAUGGAGAUGGAACGAAUUCAAGGAUCAGAGGAGGUUUCUUUCUUUUAUGUUAUUGCAAUGUCUUUGAUUCAACAUUUUUUGGGUGUGAAACACUUUUUAGCCAAACUAUGCUUUUCAUGAGAUUUUUGAUACCAAUACUUAUUUUAAUACGUGAUUCAUGAUUUUUUUCAGAUGUGAUGUUCCAUUAUUGUCAUAGUAUCAUUCACAUAGUAUGGAAUUGUGCUCCUGAUAUACAUAUUUUACCAUGUAUCACAUGAUAUACUUUUAUGAUAGAAGUGAAUUUAGAGAAAUAUGAGGAAAAGUAUCUAAUGAGGAAAAGUAUCUAACUUUUGCGUGGUUUUGUUAUAGAAAUCAAUGGUUGGUUGCACCAAAAAAUUGUGAUGAAGGCUUAGACUAUCUGAUUGUUUUUACUGCACGAAUCUCUUUUUCUCCAUUGUGCUUUUUUUAGGACAAAGUUAUGUGCUAUUGUCAUACCAAAUUAUCUUCUACCAUUUCAAUCCAUACUAUUUUUUGUCUAUUAUUCCUGUUACUUGAAUUCGCCUGUUCUUCCAUAUCUGACUGUGGAUGCUUGUUGGACAUGGCUAAGCAAUCUCAAACAACCUUUAACUUAUCUUGAGCGGGUACCAUGCUGUCUUCCUCUGAGUGGAUCCAUUUUCCAAUCUAAUUCUUCUCAAUGUUUCCAUAUAUCUUUCUUAGGAUUUGCACUUUAGGUCCAUUCAUGCAUUUUAUUGAAUACUUGCUCCUUGUAUCAAAUGCUAAAAGUUGGGCUAGAAAAUAAACACACAUAAAUUAGAACAUUUUAUGCAGAAUAGAAAAAAUAAAAAAGUGUUAUAUCAGAAAAUUCCUGAACUUUUCGGUCCUAAUGAGCGAAGAUGGUAAGGCAAUAACUAGCUUAGUGAUUUUGAAAAGUAUGUCUUUGAACAAUCUUAAGAAACCCCCUAUCGAAGAGGCCAUAUCUGGUUACCAUUGUCUUUUAUGGUGUUAACUUAUAUAGAGUCUACUGUCAGUAGAAAGUAGAAACCCUAAAAAUGUUCAAUCGAUACAUUUUAAGAUUUAAGAGGUAGUUUAACUGAUUCUUCAUAUUCUCAAAACUUUUUGCUUCUUUUAGUUUUUAUUUUUUUUUCCAAAACCAACAGUUGCUAUCUUUAUUGAUAUUUCAAAUCCCAAUUAAUUGAUAUCGCUCUCUUGAGGUUAUGUAUUGCAGAAUCUAAAGGCCAGAUCUUUCUUUAAACGAAUAGUUGGAACAGUUGUACGA
RNAcentral lists this unclassified non-coding RNA (2107 nucleotides) under Hevea brasiliensis (rubber tree). The record is from RNAcentral. Lineage: Eukaryota; Viridiplantae; Streptophyta; Magnoliopsida; Malpighiales; Euphorbiaceae.